GGCGCAGGCGGGAAACUAAGCGGAUCUUAAAAGUGCGGGGCUCAACCCCGUGAUGGGGUCCGAACUGGUUUUCUUGAGUGCAGGAGAGGAAAGCGGAAUUCCCAGUGUAGCGGUGAAAUGCGUAGAUAUUGGGAAGAACACCAGUGGCGAAGGCGGCUUUCUGGACUGUAACUGACGCUGAGGCUCGAAAGCUAGGGUAGCGAACG
This 206-nucleotide ribosomal RNA is filed under the name uncultured bacterium. Its description in RNAcentral is "partial 16S ribosomal RNA". It matches the Rfam family "Bacterial small subunit ribosomal RNA", at positions 568 to 774 of the family's 1533-position model. The record is from RNAcentral.